This 74-nucleotide transfer RNA is filed under the name Alphaproteobacteria bacterium. RNAcentral's name for it is "tRNA-Arg". It matches the Rfam family "tRNA". Rfam says of the family: Transfer RNA (tRNA) molecules are approximately 80 nucleotides in length. Their secondary structure includes four short double-helical elements and three loops (D, anti-codon, and T loops). Lineage: Bacteria; Pseudomonadati; Pseudomonadota; Alphaproteobacteria. The record is from RNAcentral.
GCGCCCUUAGCUCAGCUGGAUAGAGCAUCAGAUUUCUAAUCUGCAGGUCACAGGUUCGAAUCCUGUAGGGCGUG